Molecule: transfer RNA, 66 nt
Filed under: Cyrtodactylus ayeyarwadyensis
Lineage: Eukaryota; Metazoa; Chordata; Lepidosauria; Squamata; Gekkonidae
Description: tRNA-Trp
Source: RNAcentral
AAGUUUAGGUUAGACAAACCAGGGGCCUUCAAAGCCCCAAACAUGAGCAUCACCCUCCUAACUACU